GACGUAGGGCGCGAGCGUUGUCCGGAUUUAUUGGGCGUAAAGAGCUCGUAGGCGGCUUGUCGCGUCGUCCGUGAAAACCUGCGAGCCUCAACUGCAGGCUUGCGGUCGAUACGGGCAGGCUAGAGUUCGGUAGGGGAGACUGGAAUUCCUGGUGUAGCGGUGAAAUGCGCAGAUAUCAGGAGGAACACCGGUGGCGAAGGCGGGUCUCUGGGCCGAUACUGACGCUGAGGAGCGAAAGCGUGGGGAGCGAACAGG
This 255-nucleotide ribosomal RNA is filed under the name uncultured bacterium. Its description in RNAcentral is "partial 16S ribosomal RNA". It matches the Rfam family "Bacterial small subunit ribosomal RNA", at positions 524 to 776 of the family's 1533-position model. The record is from RNAcentral.